This 447-nucleotide ribosomal RNA is filed under the name uncultured Hyphomicrobiales bacterium. Its description in RNAcentral is "bacterial SSU rRNA". It matches the Rfam family "Bacterial small subunit ribosomal RNA", at positions 29 to 523 of the family's 1533-position model. Lineage: Bacteria; Pseudomonadati; Pseudomonadota; Alphaproteobacteria; Hyphomicrobiales. The record is from RNAcentral.
AACGAACGCUGGCGGCAGGCUUAACACAUGCAAGUCGAGCGCCCCGCAAGGGGAGCGGCAGACGGGUGAGUAACGCGUGGGAAUCUACCUUUUGCUACGGAAUAACGCAGGGAAACUUGUGCUAAUACCGUAUGUGUCCUUCGGGAGAAAGAUUUAUCGGCAAGAGAUGAGCCCGCGUUGGAUUAGCUAGUUGGUGGGGUAAAGGCCUACCAAGGCGACGAUCCAUAGCUGGUCUGAGAGGAUGAUCAGCCACACUGGGACUGAGACACGGCCCAGACUCCUACGGGAGGCAGCAGUGGGGAAUAUUGGACAAUGGGCGCAAGCCUGAUCCAGCCAUGCCGCGUGAGUGAUGAAGGCCCUAGGGUUGUAAAGCUCUUUCACCGGUGAAGAUAAUGACGGUAUCCGGAGAAGAAGCCCCGGCUAACUUCGUGCCAGCCGCCGCGGUAA